This 492-nucleotide ribosomal RNA is filed under the name uncultured bacterium. RNAcentral's name for it is "partial 16S ribosomal RNA". It matches the Rfam family "Bacterial small subunit ribosomal RNA", at positions 30 to 507 of the family's 1533-position model. The record is from RNAcentral.
AUUGAACGCUGGCGGUAGGCCUAACACAUGCAAGUCGAACGGCAGCACAGUAAGAUCUUGCUCUUACGGGUGGCGAGUGGCGGACGGGUGAGGAAUACAUCGGAAUCUACUUUUUCGUGGGGGAUAACGUAGGGAAACUUACGCUAAUACCGCAUACGACCUACGGGUGAAAGCAGGGGAUCUUCGGACCUUGCGCGAUUGAAUGAGCCGAUGUCGGAUUAGCUAGUUGGCGGGGUAAAGGCCCACCAAGGCGACGAUCCGUAGCUGGUCUGAGAGGAUGAUCAGCCACACUGGAACUGAGACACGGUCCAGACUCCUACGGGAGGCAGCAGUGGGGAAUAUUGGACAAUGGGCGCAAGCCUGAUCCAGCCAUACCGCGUGGGUGAAGAAGGCCUUCGGGUUGUAAAGCCCUUUUGUUGGGAAAGAAAAGCAGCAGGUUAAUACCCCGCUGUUCUGACGGUACCCAAAGAAUAAGCACCGGCUAACUUCGUG